Molecule: ribosomal RNA, 606 nt
Filed under: Triticum aestivum (bread wheat)
Lineage: Eukaryota; Viridiplantae; Streptophyta; Magnoliopsida; Poales; Poaceae
Description: partial small subunit ribosomal RNA
Source: RNAcentral
AUGGCGCCAGGGCUCAAACGCUUCACCGACGUCGCCGGAGACGGCACGCCCCGCCUCGACGACGCCGCCGGCGAGGAGCUCGUGUGCGUGGAGCGCGCCGCCUCGGUCGCCCUCGGCAGCCGCGCGCCGGAGCCCCCGGGAACGCUUUUCAUCACCACCAGGAGGGUGAUUUGGCUCAGCGAGGCGGAGAAGGGCAGAGGAUACGCGGUGGGCUUCCUGGACAUCACGCUCCACGCAGUGUCGCGCGACCCGGAGGCGUACCCCUCGCCGUGCCUCUACACUCAGAUUGAAGCCGAAGCUGACUCCGAUGAAGAGGAUGGUGAUCUUGACUCUGAAGCAGAUAGUGACUCACAACUACCAAAAAUCUCUGAGAUGCGUAUUAUACUGGCAGACGCUGCCCAACUAGAUUCACUUUUUGAUGCCUUCUGCCAUUGUGCUGAACUGAACCCUGAUCCUACUGCUGGAAUCGACCCUGAGUUUUUUAUUCCCAACCCGAUAGGUCAAAAUGGUGGAGAUGACCUCAGUUCUUCAGUACUUGAGCUUCAAAUCAAUGACCAGCGUUUCGAGGAUGCCGAGGAAGAGGAGGCCCGUGAAAAUGGGCAUUAG